UGGUUUGAUCAUGGCUCAGGAUGAACGCUGGCGGCAUGCCCAAUACAUGCAAGUCGAACGGAGUGAAGCCUUCGGGUUUCAUUCAGUGGCGAACGGGUGAGUAAUACGCAGGGAACCUGGCCAUGGCAGGGGGAUACACUCUGGAAACGGAGCAUAAGACCCCAUAGGCAGUAAGGCGGCAUCGCCUUGCUGUUAAAGAAAGCUGAAAGGCUUUGGCGAUGGAUGGACCUGCGGUGCAUUAGCUUGUUGGUGAGGCAACGGCUUACCAAGGCGAUGAUGCAUAGCCGGCCUGAGAGGGCGGACGGCCACACUGGGACUGAGACACGGCCCAGACUCCUGCGGGAGGCAGCAGUAGGGAAUUUUCGUCAAUGGGCGCAAGCCUGAACGAGCAAUGCCGCGUGAGUGAGGAAGGUCUUCGGACUGUAAAGCUCUGUUGCCGGGGAAAAAGGGGAAAUGCAGGAAAUGGCAUUUCAUGGAUGGUACCCGGCCAGAAAGCCACGGCUAACUACGUGCCAGCAGCCGCGGUAAUACGUAGGUGGCGAGCGUUAUCCGGAAUGAUUGGGCGUAAAGGGUGCGCAGGCGGUCUGUUAAGUCUGAAGGCAAAGGGAUGAGCUCAACUCAUUUAUGAUUCAGAAACUGGCAGACUUGAGGACAGGAGAGGGCGGUGGAACUCCAUGUGUAGCGGUAAAAUGCGCAGAGAUAUGGAAGAACACCAGUGGCGAAGGCGGCCGCCUGGCCUGUGACUGACGCUGAGGCACGAAAGCGUGGGGAGCAAAUAGGAUUAGAUACCCUAGUAGUCCACGCCGUAAACGAUGAGGAGCAGGUGUUGGGAGUGAAAUCUCAGUGCCGAAGCCAACGCAGUGACUCCUCCGCCUGGGGAGUAUGCACGCAAGUGUGAAACUCAAAGGAAUUGACGGGGGCCCGCACAAGCGGUGGAGUAUGUGGUUUAAUUCGAAGCAACGCGAAGAACCUUACCAGGUUUUGACAUCGGAUGCGAAGGCGCAGAGAUGCGCUGGAGGCUAUCAUCCAGACAGGUGGUGCAUGGUUGUCGUCAGCUCGUGUCGUGAGAUGUUCAGUUAAGUCUGGCAACGAGCGCAACCCCCGUGGUAUGUUACUAACGCAUUUGGGCGAGGACUCAUAUCAGACUGCCGGUGACAAACCGGAGGAAGGCGGGGAUGACGUCAAAUCAUCAUGCCCCUUAUGGCCUGGGCUACACACGUACUACAAUGGCGUCUACAGAGGGAAGCGACCCUGAGAAGGGAAGCGAAACCGGAAAAGGGCGUCCCAGUUCGGAUUGAAGUCUGCAACCCGACUUCAUGAAGAUGGAAUCGCUAGUAAUCGCGGAUCAGCAUGCCGCGGUGAAUACGUUCCCGGGCCUUGUACACACCGCCCGUCAAACCAUGGAAGCCGGCAACGCCCGAAGCCGGUGGCAUAACCUUUUAGGAGUGAGCCGUCGAAGGCGGGGCCGAUGACUGGGGUUAAGUCGUAACAAGGUAUCC
Molecule: ribosomal RNA, 1499 nt
Filed under: uncultured bacterium
Lineage: Bacteria
Description: bacterial SSU rRNA
Rfam family: Bacterial small subunit ribosomal RNA
Source: RNAcentral